Molecule: ribosomal RNA, 140 nt
Filed under: uncultured bacterium
Lineage: Bacteria
Description: partial 16S ribosomal RNA
Rfam family: Bacterial small subunit ribosomal RNA
Source: RNAcentral
UGGGGAAUAUUGCACAAUGGGGGGAACCCUGAUGCAGCAACGCCGCGUGAAGGAAGAAGGCUUUCGGGUUGUAAACUUCUAUCAAUAGGGACGAAAGAGAUGACGGUACCUAGAUAAGAAGCCCCGGCUAACUACGUGCC